CCGCGGACGGCUCAUUAAAUCAGUCGUGGUCCAAAUGGGCUAGAGUUGUCUUACUUGGAUAACUGUGGUAAUUCCAGAGCUAAUACAUGCAACUGAAGGUUCGAUCUUUGUGGCUUCGGCUGCUCGGUGACGGCCGCUUUUAUUAGACCAAACCGCUCUCGAGUGAGUUAAUUCUCUCUCUUUGACCCGUGUUGUGGUGACUCUGGAUAACACCUCAUGACAAGCGCACGUAUCCAUUUGUAUGGGACGGCGCUGCCACUUUCGAGUGUCUGCCUUAUCAGCUGUGUAUCGUUCGUUAUGUGCGAACGAUGGCUUUGACGGGUAACGGGGAAUCAGGGUUCGAUUCCGGAGAGGCAGCCUGAGAAACGGCUACCACGUCCAAGGACGGCAGCAGGCACGCAAAUUACCCAAUCCCAGCUCCUCUGGGGGAGGUAGUGACGAAAUCUAACGAUGCGGGCGCCCCUUCUGGGGCCCCGCAAUCGGAAUGAGCGCUUUCUAAACGACCCGUUGAGAACCUACUGAAGGGCAAGUCUGGUGCCAGCAGCCGCGGUAAUUCCAGCUUCAGCAGCAUCUACUAAAGUUGCUGCGGUUAAAAGGCUCGCAGUUGAAUGUCAGUAUCAGGUGCAGCGAAGGUGGACGUUGGAGAUUGCUUGUGCGUGCGAGAGUGUGGGUUGAUUCAUUCUUCCCCUCUCUCGUGUGCCUCGCAAAUAUGUAAACCUCCCGUCCGUUUCAAGCCUCCUCACCUGUGUACAAAGUUGGGCCUGUCGGGAGACUUGAGAGAGAGAGCGCGCUCGCGUGUUGUUGAUCUCUUGAAUCCCUCGGUCCUGUUGUCACCUUGAGUAAAUCAGAGUGCUCAAAGCAGUCGUGAGCUGAUCGGGGGGCUUACGCCCUUCGUGACGGAAAUUUGAAUGUCCUUCUCCUACAAGUUGGGAGAGACAGACGGUCUUGGUUUUGCAUGGUAUGUCGAAAGACGCCGACUAUCCUUGUCGGUAACGGGUCUUGUGUGGUUGUUGAAGGGAGAAGUGUGUGUGUUUGUUCACGCGCAUGUGUAUCCCUUUGGCGUUACUCCCCGACGGGAGCGGUAUGAUAAAAAGGACUGGUCGAGGGCAUUGGUAUUGCUGGGCGAGAGGUGAAAUUCUAUGACCCCAGCAAGACCUCCUGAAGCGAAAGCGUUUGCCAAGGACGUGCGUGGAGCCUGCGGCUUAAUUUGACUCAACACGGGCCAUCUCACCAGGCCAGCACUCUUGUACGAUUGACAGAUUGAGAGUUCUUUCUUGAUUCAGUGGAUGGUGGUGCAUGGCCGUUCUUAGUUGGUGGAGCGAUCUGUCUGGUUAAUUCCGAUAACGAACGAGACUCUCUCCUGCUAAAUAGUCGGUUGGAUCUUGCGUCAAGUGAGAGUCGCCUAGGUGUCUUGCGCAUUUCGUUCGUGCCUCUGUGACUUUUGUCUCAGAUAAUCGUUCGUGUGCGUGUCGCCAAAGCACUCCAAGUCCACCGCUUGCUUCUUCCUGAUCGCGCAAGCGUUAGGGAGGUUGUAAAACUCUUCUUAGAGGGAUUCACGGUUCUGAAGCCGUAAGAAACUGAGAGCAAUAACAGGUCUGUGAUGCCCUUAGAUGUUCUGGGCCGCACGCGCGCUACAAUGCCGGGCACAGCAGGUGUUAUUCCUUCUCCGAGAGGAGUGGGUAACCCUCUGAAAGCCCUUCAAACAUAAUAUCAUACGGUGUUGUUGCAUGCUUCUGCAUGUGAUUUCACUAGCGGCUUGCUUGGGCCUGGGGCUUGCAAUUCUUUCCCACAAACGAGGAAUGCCUAGUAGCGGCGGAUCACUGAGUUCGCUGUGACUCAGUCCCUGCCCUUUGUACACACCGCCCGUCGCUACUACCGAUUGGGUGUACCAGUGAGUUCUUCGGACUGGCGAGCCUGGUUGUGCGUACUCUUAACGGGGUGUCGCGCGUCAGUGCCAACGACGGAAGAGUUCGAACUGCUGUACUUAGAGGAAGUAAAGUCGUAACAAGGUUUCCGUAGUG
Molecule: ribosomal RNA, 2021 nt
Filed under: Austroregia regis
Lineage: Eukaryota; Metazoa; Arthropoda; Malacostraca; Amphipoda; Gammarellidae
Description: partial 18S ribosomal RNA
Rfam family: Eukaryotic small subunit ribosomal RNA
Source: RNAcentral